AUGGCACCUCCUAGACAUGCAAAGGGAAAUGCAAAAAUUGGUGAAAGCUCCAAUGCUCCUGAUUCUGACUCAGAGCAAGUCCAAACUACUGUGAAGCUGAGAAGAUUAAUGGCAAACUUCAGACAAAGGGCUAUAUUCCUUCCAAAAUUCGAUUUUGGUUCAUUCUUAGGUAUUCCUUCUGAAGGUGUAAAGAUUGUUCCCGAUUUUACUCCAGACACUCCAUGUUGGGAAAUUACAAUAAGAUGA
Molecule: non-coding RNA, 246 nt
Organism: Vicia faba (fava bean)
Lineage: Eukaryota; Viridiplantae; Streptophyta; Magnoliopsida; Fabales; Fabaceae
Source: the annotation of a GenBank genome assembly